GGACCCGCACAAGUAGUGGAGCAUGUGGUUUAAUUCGAAGAUACGCGCAGAACCUUACCAACACUUGACAUGUUCGUCGCGACUUUAAGAGAUUAAAGUUUUCGGUUCGGCCGGACGAAACACAGGUGCUGCAUGGCUGUCGUCAGCUCGUGUCGUGAGAUGUUGGGUUAAGUCCCGCAACGAGCGCAACCCUCACUUUUAGUUGCCAUCAUUAAGUUGGGCACUCUGAAAGAACUGCCAGUGAUAAGCUGGAGGAAGGUGGGGAUGACGUCAAGUCCUCAUGGCCCUUACGUGUUGGGCUACACACGUGCUACAAUGGUAUCUACAACAGGAAGCAAAACAGCGAUGUUAAGCAAAUCCUUAAAAGAUACCUCAGUUCGGAUUGCACUCUGCAACUCGAGUGCAUG
Molecule: ribosomal RNA, 407 nt
Filed under: uncultured bacterium
Lineage: Bacteria
Description: bacterial SSU rRNA
Rfam family: Bacterial small subunit ribosomal RNA
Source: RNAcentral